UGUUGGUCCUGCCAAUCGAUGAGCAU
RNAcentral lists this unclassified non-coding RNA (26 nucleotides) under Mus musculus (house mouse). Its description in RNAcentral is "oocyte_clustered_small_RNA560". Lineage: Eukaryota; Metazoa; Chordata; Mammalia; Rodentia; Muridae. The record is from RNAcentral.